This is a long non-coding RNA of Lynx canadensis (Canada lynx), 728 nucleotides long. RefSeq lists it as uncharacterized. The record is from RefSeq and is a predicted model, not a curated record. The transcript is spliced from 5 exons. Lineage: Eukaryota; Metazoa; Chordata; Mammalia; Carnivora; Felidae.
GAUUGCUUUCUUUGAGAGCGGAGAAACCGCUCGAGCGCUGGCUUCUGACAAGCCAGGGAAUGGAUCCCUGUUCAGCCGCUAGCCAUGUGACCCUGACCAAGUCACUUCCUCUCUCUGAGCCUCACUUUUCUUCUCUAGAAAAGGAGAUAAAUAAUCCUCACCCCCUGAGGGGCACUGAAAGGAUGACAUAAAACGACGCGCUUUAAGGCAAAGCUUAGCGCCUCGCCCGGCUCCAGGGGGUUCUUCCAAUCUCGGCCUGCUCGCAGCAGAUCGGGCACCUGACCUUGAGCAGCUCCAUAACCGGCUUCAUCAAAGGUUCCAACCAGGCUCCUCUUAAACGUGAUGGACGCUCUUCCCACUGAGGGUCGGGGGUCCACAGAGAGUAAGCAAGGCUCCUAACGAGCAGCCAGCAAGAGCUAACCGGCGUAGGAGCGAAUGAGCCUUCCGAUGAUUCCAGCCCCUAGCCUUUGAGUCCUUCGGCUGAUGUCCCAGACGUGGUGGAACAGGAAGCAGGCAUCUCCGUGCUGCCCUCUCCAGAGUUCUGACCCACGGGAUCCGCGAGCGUAACAAACGCCAGCGUGAACAAGUAGGGGCAGAGCAGCAGAAGAAGCGGUCAAACUCACAGAGGAAGCAGGUGGCAGAGAUGGGCCAGGACUUGCAUAGGCCGAGUCCUCAAAGAAGAGCCUCUAACGGGAAGGCUUGUCUGUUAGACGGAUGAGGAAACUGAG